UGAAGACUGUGGGAUUAGUUAUUUCAGCAGGCCUCUCCACCUGACGUUCUAUGACUAGAUGGGACAUCUCUGGAGUAACUGAUUAUCAGGAUGUCAGGCAUGAAAGCUGAUGCUGAGGAAGUUCUCUGGGCCAAGAGACUUCCCUAACACCUCAUAUUCUAUAAGCUAUCCUGCAACGCACUGAGUUUACUAAUGGCGUGCCCUUUACAACUUUUAUCUUUUGUUUUUCUCCUCACCAUAGGACAAAUGAGAAGAGAAUUUGGAUUUGAACCAAGGUGAUUCUGAAGUGCACUCUGAAUAACAACCAUUGGAUUAAAAUGCAGGUGGAGCAUAUUAACAUGCUAAUUAUGCAGAUUACAAAAGAAGAGGUCCAUUUAGGCUGAGAUUUUAAAAUAUGGCUUAUAGAAGAGAUGCGAUUUCAGUGAAAGGUCAGAUAUGGAUAAGAGCAUAAUGUUAAUUGACUUUCAUCAUUAAAAGAUCCUCAAAUGACAACUGAAUUAUCCAAGCCUUCAAAAAUGUAUACAUUGAACUUGGUUGGUCCUUGCCUCCAAAGACAGUCCCGUUCAUCAUGGAAGACAUUGGAACCUCCAGUAGUUGGAGCUGAGGGUCUUUAUCAGAAAGCAGUCAUUCACCUCUGCCUUAGCCCUACCUUUCAUUCCUGAUAUCAACUGUGGUCCAAGUAUGAUCUUCAGUAACCAGACC
This is a long non-coding RNA of Myotis davidii, 702 nucleotides long. RefSeq lists it as uncharacterized. Lineage: Eukaryota; Metazoa; Chordata; Mammalia; Chiroptera; Vespertilionidae. The transcript is spliced from 4 exons. The record is from RefSeq and is a predicted model, not a curated record.